Molecule: transfer RNA, 75 nt
Filed under: Micromonospora fulviviridis
Lineage: Bacteria; Bacillati; Actinomycetota; Actinomycetes; Micromonosporales; Micromonosporaceae
Description: tRNA-Trp
Source: RNAcentral
CGCGCCGCUGGCCGGACGGGCGGCGACGGCGCUCCACGAGCUGCCGGCGACCGGUUCGCCUCUGGUCGGCCAGGC